GACGAACGCUGGCGGCGUGCUUAACACAUGCAAGUCGAACGGAAAGGCCCUGCUUUUGUGGGGUGCUCGAGUGGCGAACGGGUGAGUAACACGUGAGUAACCUGCCCUUGACUUUGGGAUAACUUCAGGAAACUGGGCUAAUACCGGAUAGGAGCUCCUGCUGCAUGGUGGGGGUUGGAAAGUUUCGGCGGUUGGGGAUGGACUCGCGGCUUAUCAGCUUGUUGGUGGGGUAGUGGCUUACCAAGGCUUUGACGGGUAGCCGGCCUGAGAGGGUGACCGGCCACAUUGGGACUGAGAUACGGCCCAGACUCCUACGGGAGGCAGCAGUGGGGAAUAUGCACAAUGGGCGGAAGCCUGAUGCAGCAACGCCGCGUGCGGGAUGACGGCCUUCGGGUUGUAAACCGCUUUCGCCUGUGACGAAGCGUGAGUGACGGUAAUGGGUAAAGAAGCACCGGCUAACUACGUG
This 466-nucleotide ribosomal RNA is filed under the name uncultured bacterium. RNAcentral's name for it is "partial 16S ribosomal RNA". It matches the Rfam family "Bacterial small subunit ribosomal RNA", at positions 28 to 507 of the family's 1533-position model. The record is from RNAcentral.